UGAAAUAAUUUUUUUCCUUUACUAGCGAAGAGGUGAUUUUGCACCUCCUAUUUUGAAGUUUUUUUUCUCCUUAAUAAAAGGAAUAGGACUAAAAUUUUAGACAUACACUGUUCUUCAAUUUCACAGAAUCACAGAAUUGAAGGGGUUGGAAGGGACCUUGAAAGGUCAUCGGGUCCAACCCCCCUGCCAAAACAGGUUCCUUAGAGCAGGCUGCCCAGGUAGGGCCUAAAAUAUCUCCAGAUGAGACUCCACAACCUCCCUGGGCAGCCUGUUCCAGUGCUCCGCCACCCUCACCAUGAAGAAGUUCUUUCUCAUGUUGGUGCAGAACUUCCUACGCUCUAUCUUGUGGCCAUUACCCCUUGCCCUGUCCCCACAAACCUCUGAAAAGAGGUUGGCCAAAUCCCUCUGUCUCCCACACCGCAGGUAUUUAUACACACUGAUGAGAUCCCUUCGCAGUCUUUUUUUCUCCAGGCUGAACAGACCCAGGUCUCUCAGCCUUUCCUCAUAAGGAAGAUGCUCCAGGCCCCGUAUCAUCUUUGUGGCCCUCUGCUGGACUCUUUCCAGGAGAUCCCUGUCUUUUUUUGUACCAGGGAGCCCAGAACUGGACACAGUACUCCAGGUGCAGGACUCUACACUUGUUCUUGUUAAACCUCAUUUGGUUUCUUCCUGCCCAUCUCUCCAGCCCGUCCAGGUCUCACUGAAUGGCAGCACAGCCUUCUGGCGUGCCAGCCACUCCUCCCAGCUUUGUGUCAUCGGCGUACUUGCUGAGGGCAGACACUAUUCCCUCAUCAAGGUCGUCGAUGAAGAUGUUGAACAGGACUGGACCCAGCACCGACUCCUGGGGAACACUGCUAGUCACAGCCCUCCAGUCAGACUCUGCUUCUCCGAUCACCACCCUGUGAGCUCGGCCAGUCAGCCAGUUCUCAACCCACCUUACUGUCCACUCCUCUACCGCACACUUUCUUAGCUUUGCUAUCAGGAUGUCAUGGGAGACAGUAUCAAAAGCCUUACUGAAGUCAAGGUAGAUGACAUCCACUGCUCUCCCCUCAUCUACCCAUUUCAUUGACAUUGAGUCAUGCUUUGAAAGGUGAAAGCAAUUCUUGUUCCAAACAUAUUCCUUAAAACUCUUCCACCCCU
This 1137-nucleotide long non-coding RNA is filed under the name Anas platyrhynchos platyrhynchos (common mallard). RNAcentral describes it as "lncRNA (ENSAPLG00000028259.1)". The record is from RNAcentral. Lineage: Eukaryota; Metazoa; Chordata; Aves; Anseriformes; Anatidae.